CCGCGUUCCUAGGUCAGGCGUGAAU
This 25-nucleotide ribosomal RNA is filed under the name Amentotaxus yunnanensis. RNAcentral describes it as "partial 28S ribosomal RNA". Lineage: Eukaryota; Viridiplantae; Streptophyta; Pinopsida; Cupressales; Taxaceae. The record is from RNAcentral.